RNAcentral lists this ribosomal RNA (164 nucleotides) under Senecio purtschelleri. Its description in RNAcentral is "5.8S ribosomal RNA". It matches the Rfam family "5.8S ribosomal RNA". From Rfam's summary of the family: 5.8S ribosomal RNA (5.8S rRNA) is a component of the large subunit of the eukaryotic ribosome. It is transcribed by RNA polymerase I as part of the 45S precursor that also contains 18S and 28S rRNA. Functionally, it is thought that 5.8S rRNA may be involved in ribosome translocation. The record is from RNAcentral. Lineage: Eukaryota; Viridiplantae; Streptophyta; Magnoliopsida; Asterales; Asteraceae.
UAAACGACUCUCGGCAACGGAUAUCUCGGCUCACGCAUCSAUGAASAACGUAGCAAAAUGCGAUACUUGGUGUGAAUUGCACAAUCCCGUGAACCAUCGAGUUUUUGAACGCAAGUUGCGCCCGAAGCCUUUUGGCCGAGGGCACGUCUGCCUGGGCGUCACAC